GUUAGACAGCUUGAAAACCAAAAGAUGAAACAUCAAAUCCAAAAAUCAAAAUCAAACUCUCUCACAUAGUCUAUGUUUUCUCAGCAACCAUACAAAUAAUCCACAAUUCAGUAAACAUGUAAAAAUUCUCAAACUUUAUAUUGUACCAUAUUAAGUUCAUCACCACAAUGUCACAAAUUCGAAAACCAAAAAUUGAAAAAAGAAGGUUGUAUUGGGGGGAAAAGUUUGAGUUUUGGUUGAAAUUACUCUGUUUUGACAACACAACAAAGCAAUAUUAAUUAAACUCCAAUUCUAAUAGUUCUAUGUCGAAACUCCAAUUCUAAUAGUUAAGUAUCACAUGCCGGAAAGCCGUCCGAGUUUCUUAGUAGCCAAACAGGAGUUUCUUAGUAGCCAAACAGGAAAAACAAAAGAGAGAGAGAGAGAGAGAGA
RNAcentral lists this unclassified non-coding RNA (429 nucleotides) under Hevea brasiliensis (rubber tree). Lineage: Eukaryota; Viridiplantae; Streptophyta; Magnoliopsida; Malpighiales; Euphorbiaceae. The record is from RNAcentral.